GACGAACGCUGGCGGCGUGCCUAAUACAUGCAAGUAGAACGCUGAAGCGAGGAGCUUGCUCUUCUUGGAUGAGUUGCGAACGGGUGAGUAACGCGUAGGUAACCUGCCUUGUAGCGGGGGAUAACUAUUGGAAACGAUAGCUAAUACCGCAUAACAAUGGAUGACACAUGUCAUUUAUUUGAAAGGGGCAAUUGCUCCACUACAAGAUGGACCUGCGUUGUAUUAGCUAGUAGGUGAGGUAAUGGCUCACCUAGGCGACGAUACAUAGCCGACCUGAGAGGGUGAUCGGCCACACUGGGACUGGGACACGGCCCAGACUCCUACGGGAGGCAGCAGUAGGGAAUCUUCGGCAAUGGGGGCAACCCUGACCGAGCAACGCCGCGUGGGUGAAGAAGGGUUUCGGAUCGUAAAGCUCUGUUGUAAGUCAAGAACGGGUGUGAGAGUGGAAAGUUCACACUGUGACGGUAGCUGACCAGAAAGGGACGGCUAACUACGUG
This 497-nucleotide ribosomal RNA is filed under the name uncultured bacterium. RNAcentral describes it as "partial 16S ribosomal RNA". It matches the Rfam family "Bacterial small subunit ribosomal RNA", at positions 28 to 507 of the family's 1533-position model. The record is from RNAcentral.